RNAcentral lists this unclassified non-coding RNA (320 nucleotides) under uncultured fungus. Its description in RNAcentral is "sequence contains ITS2". The record is from RNAcentral. Lineage: Eukaryota; Fungi.
AACGCACCUUGCACCUUUUGGCAUUCCGAAAGGUACAUCUGUUUGAGUGUCAUGAAUCCCUCAACCUCUACAUUUCCUUGUGAGACGUACGAGCGUUGGAUGCUGAGCGUUGCUGUUCUCACAGACAGCUCGCUUCAAAUUGAUCAGCAAUCUCGAUAGUGCUCGGAUUGACCCGACGUGAUAAGAUCUUCGUUGGGAAAUGCUUUCAUUAGCAGCCGGUCUACUACACGAGUGGCUUCUAACAUCUGAUCGCGCCUUCUGGCAUGACAGACCCCCUACUUUUAGACCUCAAAUCAGAUGGGACUACCCGCUGAACUUAA